UUUUUUUUUUUUUUUUUUUUUGGCCAUACCCAUGGCAUGUGGAAUUUCCUGAGCCAAGGAUCAAACCUGUACCACAGCAGUGACACUACAGUAGCAGUGCUAGAUCCUUAACCUGCUGAGCCACAAGGGAACUCACAGAGUGAACACUCUUGACCAUGAGAGCAACAGGUCCUAGAAAUGGUGACCGUGUCCAUUAACCAAUUAGAAACGAGUUUGUCAAUGAUGUUGGGAGGAGUUUUAAGAUCCCAGAAGAGGAGUUCCCGUCGUGGUGCAGUGGUUAACGAAUCCGACUAGGAACCAUGAGGUUGAGGGUUCGAUCCCUGCCCUUGCUCAGUGGGUUAACGAUCCGGCAUUGCCGUGAGCUGUGGUGUAGGUUGCAGAUGCGGCUCGGAUCUUGCGUUGCUGUGGCUCUGGUAUAGGCCGGUGGCUACAGCUCCGAUUCGACCCCUAGCCUGGGAACCUCCAUAUGCCGCUGGAGCGGCCCAAGAAAUGGCAAAAAGACAAAAAAAAAAAAAAAUCCCAGAAGACAGUCAUUGGCUUCAUUCUAUAUAGGAUAUUCAUCAUCUACUCCACACAGGAACAUUUUCAGGAAAAGCAUAUUAUGACACUUAGCAUAAGUGUUUGUACCCUAUGGUCAGACAGUCCCCUGCCUUUCUAAUGCACCUUCCAACAAAAAAAUAACAACAGCAUGGUGGGCUGCUCCAAGACUCCUGAACAGGGGCCCUUGAUGUCCUGUCCAUGUGAUACCAAUCCAUGAUUUCUCCACCUUCGAGGAGUUCCAAGAGAGACAGUUGGCCCUUGAGACACUGGAGAUACAAAACCAAAGUGGGAUGAAGAGGCUCCUCCCACCUCACUCUUGCCCAGGAAUUUCCUCUAUCUUCCCAUACACUGUCCUCACCAAAUCACCCACCAGAAUUAGACCAAGAGCCUCAGGAAUCAGUCAAGACACAAGAUGGAGAGAGGGUUCAUAUUUUUUCUUUCAGUUGAUUGUUUUCUGAUUGCUUUAGGUCUGGCCUAGUGAAGCUGAAUCCAUCACUCUCAGUGGGUGGUGGGUGAGGAGAGGAACAGAUGCAGGAGUUUACCUAGGAUGCUUUAAACCUUGGCACAAAAAAGAAAGACAUGAGAAGCUAACCUGAAGGAGAGGCAGUUGCACAAAGUUAAGAGAGCAAAAGAGCCCCCUGGGCACCAGAAGGACCCAAUGUAGUAAGAAUUUUAAGAGGUGAUAAAGGUAACUUGCUGUCAAAGGAGGCAGAUACGGCUAAAGAACUAAGCACAAUUAAUUCCUUUCUCAAGCCACCAUAAAGGUGAAUGGCUACCAGAUGGUCAGACAGAAAUACCUGUCCACAGGCCAUGGAGAAAAAAAAAUAAAUGCCAGAAGAAAUCAGAUCCUCUACUGAGCAGGUGAGCAGGAAAUUAAAAUAUCUCUAUACUGACCACAACUCAAGACCACACAUGUUCACCAAGAGACGGUUAGGAAGGCAGUGUGACUAUGAGUUAGCAUCCGUCCUCUGCCUGCCGGCCCACACCCAGAGGGCAGUCACAGAUCUCCGCAGUGCUAGACCGAAAAAGCUGCCAAGAACCCAGCAAUUCCAACCGUGAUGAAGAUGGGAGAGCAGAUCCCAGAGCCACUGGGUAGAAACCAGCCCACAUCCCAGACUCUGUCACUAGACCAAGCAACAGUAUCUUUUCCUGGGUACUUACUAGGAACCAAGAACAUGGCUGGGAUCUUUCUAAGGGCCCCACACAGCUUCUAAAAUGGCUCUCACUGAUUCUGGUCUCCAGUGUAAUCCCUUCUCUUUAAGCAUGGGCUGGACUUGCUUCCAAUGAAUGGAAUAUGCCAAAAGGGAUGGGAUGUCACUUAUUCCCAUCGAAAAAAAUCUCCCUGAAUUUAUGUCUCGGAGACUCCACUCUGACCAGUGGUGACAAUCCUCAUCCUCUCUUUCUACCAUCCUUUCUGUGCCCUUGUUGCUACAUUCCUCCUGGAAGACACAGACACACACAGACACACAGACACACACACACACACAGAAGCCCUGGAGUAGGAGAGCGCUCAGCCUCCUCUUGCCAUUAUUCAGCUCCUUCCCAAUCAAUCUCCUGCCAACCACAAAUUAGCAUUACACAGGCAGUUAUAGUGCAGCCCCCAGGGACAGAUAGAAGCUGCUAAUCCUUCAGAAGGGGCACUGGUACAAUAGGGGAGCACCCGACAGGCUCCUUUGCAUCACUUUCCGCUCCUUUGUGAGCUGUCCAAGUCCACCGCAGGAGGCAAAGUUGUUGGGCCUCGAGCAAACAGACAUGGGGGGAGCCCAAGGAGCACCAAGCUUUGCCAGCGGCUGCCCAGCCACGUCCCUGAGCCUCCAUUCCCGGCAGGAGCCGCCCUUGGGUUGGAUUCCCUCUCAGAGCUUCCACCCGGGGCCUGGGCGCUCUUCCCUUCCCCAUUUUCACUGGUUAACCCUACACAUGGCCCCAAAUGGGAUCCACCUGGAGCUUGAAAGGCCCUGGGGCCAGGCCAGAAUCAGACCUGCUCUACCCGCAGCAACUUGGAUUAACGAAGCCCCCAGGGCUGGGGAGGGCUGGGGAGGGAGCAGAGACCGCUUGCUUUCUUCUCUUUUUCCGAAGGGAUUGAUUUGGCCUUCUUGAAGUCUGAUUGAGUUUUCUGAUCCCAGAGAAAGGCAGCCCUGGCUGGGUUCCCAGGGUCAUUUUUCUCCCCAGGUGCUGCCUUUCCUUGGGCCCCCGGAGCCCCGCAAAUGCUGCCCUUCCUUCCACAGUCCCGAAGGCUGGCCCUCACAGGGGCCACAUGCUGAAGCUCCCUGACCGUAUCUGCAGCCUGUCUGGAAAUGAGGGGAACUGGCCAGAGGGGAAGCCUCUUAUCACAAACAUUUCCUGCCCGUCCCCUCCUGACCCUGCAUACCGCAGCCCUUCCCUGGCUGGGUAGCGGGGCCCACCCACAGCAGCCCUGCAACUUCUGCAUCCAGAAUCUCCAAGGCCGGGUCCCCAGACCUAGCUCUACUGCAGAUUCUUCUCCAUCCACCACACCUCCCUUCUCCAGGGAGCUCAUAGAUCCCUAACCAGCUCCGUCCUUGAAAAAAACAGGCCACCCAAACCAGCUCCAUCCUUGAAAAACAUCCUUGAAAAAGGAAGUCAGGUGGAACCGGAAAGAAAGAGGAUAAAAGGCAGGUAAGGAUUUUCAGCUCAUGGAGAAAAUGUGACUCACAGAUGGAGUUCUGCCACCUCCUCCGGGACCCCCACUGUCCACCUCUGACAAAGAGAAACAGGCAGGAGGGAGAAAAGCCUGCACACCCCCUGAGGGUCCCUAUGUCUCUGCGCCUGCACAAGGGUCUGCUGAGUGGAGUUGAAGCCAUUUGGACUGUUAAGGUUGUGUGUGCUGAAGGCUGGGCCAGCAGGUCUUCGGCCAGCCGAGCCCAGCUGUGUUCAUGUGGUCGCGGAUCGCCUAGGUUCCUCUCCCCCCUACACCUGGGGCACCCUCCUCCCGCCCCUCCCUGUGGCCUGCUCUGGCCCCCUCUCUGCCUCCUGCCCCCAGCUUGCUGUGUGGUCCAAGCCCUCUGCCAGGAGAAGAGCAAGGGAGGGAGGGAUGGGCCGGCAUGUUUACAGUCAAGCAUAACUGAACCUUUAUUUUAAAUAAAUAAAACUUGUAGCCAGUUUUAUUUCCCUUUUCUUUCAAAACGCUGUUUUUCUCCCGCCUCCUCCCCUGCUCCUUUCCCAUCAGGGCUGAGCCUUUAACUGUGGGGCCACCCAGGGAGGGGCUGGAGCGGGGGAGGAACAGAGGCCGAGCUGACCUUGGUGCUUCGCGUCUUCUCGGGUCCUAUGACACCGCCCCCCACACUCAAAUGCCCACAGAGCCCCUGGGGUUCUUCUGAAUUCAGGGACGUCCAGGCCUGAGGAAUAGAGACUAAACAGGAAGCCCAGGCCCCAUCAGCAGCAUGUUGUCCAUCUGUUCUCCCCAGUCAUAGGGCUGCCCCCCUCAUCCCCACCCCACUAGGAAACUGCCAUCCAUCUGUCUUCCACUUUGGCCUGUCAUCUCUCUGUCUCCCCUGUUGGCCCCUCAUCCAUCUGUUCCUCCCACAGGACAACCAUUUCUCCGUAUCUCCUUUGGGUUGUCAUAAAUCUACCUUCCCCGUGAGAUGUCCCAUCUGUCCAUCAUCCUGCUGGCCUGUCAGUCCAUCCGAUCCCUUUAAUCGUGCUUUUUUGGUCCAUGCGCCCCCCUCCUCCCCCACACGGGAUGUACUUCUGCCCAUCUGUCUCCCUGAAUGGGCCUCGCAAUGGCAGGUCUCUGAGGUCUAGGAUCGGUUGAAAUUCUGUUCUGAUUUGAUCCCAGCAACAAUAAUCGUAGCUACCAUCCAUCAAGUACCUACUAUGUGCCACAUAUUGUACCUACCCUACCCCCCUUUAAUCCUCCUUCAGCCCUGAGGAUAGUUAUUCCUUCAUUUUACCAGUAAGGAAACCGAGGCCCAGGAGACUUAAAGGCCUUGCCUAAGGUCACCCGGCACCUAGUGGCAGAUACAGGCUCCAGAAACAGUUCCCUGCAUACCGACUGGGGGUAGGGACCCAGCCUUCUUACUCUUCCACCCCCAGGAUGUAAGACGCCCCCCUGGCCUCUCUGCGUAUUUAAUUUACACUUUGCUGCUGGAUAUUUUCGAACUGAUGAAGUUUCCUCCCUGCCCUGGCUCUGCACAAAAAGUGAAGGAAGAAAAGCAGCCAGAUGUGAGAAGGAUUCGAAGGUCUUUUGUGGGGGGUGGGGAUGGAGAGCGAUGUUAAGUAAACAUCUAAUGAUAUUCUUUCUGCAAAACGAUCCAUUUUCGUGGCACCCAGGAGUUCGUCCAAGGGUCUCUGGGUCACCGGGGAAAAGUGUUCGUGUGUUUUGGCUCCAUAUUCUUCCAUUGGCCACAAAGAGCUAAUUCUUUCAAUUAAUGAAAUCAGCACUGCUGAUGGAGCUGUACUGACAAAUUAUUUUCAAGACGGAUAUAUUCACACCGAUGGUGGGGCUGAUAGGCCUGAAGGAUUUGGAGGGUACAGCAUGAAGGUCCCCCACCAGCCAGAGACACUGGGGUCAUUCACGAUGGCCGAGAUGUUGGCCACCACCUCAAGGGACACGUCUCUCCGCCUGGAGCCAUGAAGGCUGGGCUGGGUUGUCUGUGUUAAGGGGCUGCCUAUCAAUGGGCUUCUGUAUGGCCCCAGCAGGUCCCCGGCACCCCUCCCCUCUCCCCCAGUGCCCCAGCCAAGUCCCCUUCAGGACCUGGUUUAAAGAACCUAUUCAGCAUGCAGGAUUCCCUGAUGGGACGUGAAAAAGAGAUAGAAGCUUCCACGGAGCUGAGCAAAAGCUGCAGACCUGGAGGCAGGAAGGGAAGCCUGAAGCCACGAAAGAGGAGCUCAGUCAGAAGAAAGAAGGAAAGCUGGAGGUCCCAUAGGAUGAGAAAGAAAGGAAGGGAGGAAGGAGGGGAGGCCCAGGGAGGGGUCCAGCGCCGGAAGCCAGGGAGUGCCGAAGGAGAGGAUGGGCUACAAAUGGCGCAGAAAGAAUUGGAGCCAACUCCUCAGCUGCAUGCUGCAGAUGACCCAACUUGGAUCUGGCGUUGCUGUGGCUCUGGCCUAGGCCGGCGGCAACAGCUCUGAUUAGAACCCUAGCCUGAGAACCUCCAUGUGCCACGGGUGUGACCCUAAAAAGACAAAAAAAAAAAAAAAAAA
This 5697-nucleotide long non-coding RNA is filed under the name Sus scrofa (pig). Its description in RNAcentral is "lncRNA (ENSSSCG00040001091.1)". The record is from RNAcentral. Lineage: Eukaryota; Metazoa; Chordata; Mammalia; Artiodactyla; Suidae.